This 353-nucleotide ribosomal RNA is filed under the name uncultured bacterium. RNAcentral's name for it is "bacterial SSU rRNA". It matches the Rfam family "Bacterial small subunit ribosomal RNA", at positions 136 to 507 of the family's 1533-position model. The record is from RNAcentral.
CCGGGGGAUAACAGUCGGAAACGACUGCUAAUACCGCAUAAGCGCACAGUGCCGCAUGGCACAGUGUGAAAAACUCCGGUGGUCUGGGAUGGACCCGCGUCCGAUUAGUUAGUUGGCGGGGUAACGGCCCACCAAGACCGCGAUCGGUAGCCGACCUGANAGGGUGACCGGCCACAUUGGGACUGAGACACGGCCCAGACUCCUACGGGAGGCAGCAGUGGGGAAUAUUGCACAAUGGAGGAAACUCUGAUGCAGCGACGCCGCGUGAGCGAAGAAGUAUUUCGGUAUGUAAAGCUCUGUCAGCAGGGAAGAUAAUGACGGUACCUGACCAAGAAGCCCCGGCUAACUACGUG